UUACUAAUGUCAUAAACAUGAUCUAAGACUAAAUUUAGGGGAAACAAUGCAAUCACUUUGGCAGUAGGUUUAUUCUUUGGAUAUAAUCAUUUCUCAAACUUAUGCUUUAUUAUUUUUGAACUGUUCUAAAGUUCAUGAGAAAGACUCAGUUGAAAUAAAAAUGCUGAUAAUCCAAAGUAAAAAAAAAAAUUUAUAGUAGCUCUUUUGGUUCUUCAAGUACAGUAUCCCAUGUAAUAGAUACUGUAGACUUUUGUCCUAUAGACUUAAGUAGGCAUGGCAGCUUUCAGUCAAGAGAGUAAGUACAGGAACAUUAAGUUACUACUGUACCU
This is a long non-coding RNA of Perognathus longimembris pacificus (Pacific pocket mouse), 329 nucleotides long. RefSeq lists it as uncharacterized. The record is from RefSeq and is a predicted model, not a curated record. The transcript is spliced from 3 exons. Lineage: Eukaryota; Metazoa; Chordata; Mammalia; Rodentia; Heteromyidae.